Doryrhamphus excisus (bluestripe pipefish) is the source of this 2759-nucleotide non-coding RNA. Lineage: Eukaryota; Metazoa; Chordata; Actinopteri; Syngnathiformes; Syngnathidae. The record is from RefSeq and is a predicted model, not a curated record.
GGUGAAUAUACGUCAAGUCAUCGUGGAUUAUCUUCCUUAUUCUGUACCCCAGGAAGAAUAAAUCCUGAGGGUGAAUAUACGUCAAGUCAUCGUCAUGUCUUCCUUAUUCUGUACCACAGGGUUACUGGACAUGCUAGAGCCUAUCCCACGCUGGACAUGCUGGAGCCUAUCCCAUGCUGGACAUGCUGGAGCCUAUCCCAGCUGUCUUCGGGUUCAAAGGUCUGUGGAUGUUUUAACGCCGCUUCGACCGCAUGCUGUGAUUGUAGCGAAUCUUUCUCGCCAACGGGAUCCUUUCAACACGCUGGCUGGAUGACAUUCAAGUCAAGUCGUCACGAUGGCGGGGAACAUGGCCUCCCAAAGUCAUCCAAGGUACAGUACUGAUACACCAGCAUCAACUCAACUGGAAACUGACAAAGAUCAAAUCCGGGUACCUGGACUCUCCUUGUCUGCUGAACAUCUUCUUCUAUUCGAAAACCCCCCCCCCAAAGAUUGUCUGAUUCCCCAGGAAAGGGUGCAUGCAUGUGUCUCUGAUGUUUUGGAGCCAACGCUGCACUGGGAUUCUUAUAUGCGGAUAAAUACUUAUGGGACAACGAGGACCGAAAUAGCCCUCGAAGCAGGAAAUGCACACGGGACAGGUAAAAAGUCUCCUUUUCCUGGUGACCUCUUCCUGUCUAAUGAGUCCAACUCCUAUACUGAGGUGGGAGGUAAAACUCCUGUCCCCCGCCCCCUUUUCUGGAAGCCCUGAUUUUGAAGGCUUUGGGGAUUUGGGUGGCAGGCGUCACACAUAGCGAGGACUUCGGGAUCACAACCACAUCCACCUUCCUCUCUCCGCCCGUUGCUUUUGUCUCUAAUAUGGUGCUGGGGUAGCGUUCAGAAAAGCCAUGUGUUCCUUGCAUAAAAUCCACAUCUAGGGCUGCGGAGAAGCUUACACUGUAAUCCUGCAUGACGGAUUGAGUCUACCACUGCAGAACUCUUUCUUUUUUUUUUCCCAUUUCUCUUUCUUUCCUUCCUGAAUCUCCUAUAGAAACUUCCGUAUCCGCUCAAUGUUAUAGUGGCUGUACGUUGACAAACAUCAGAGCGCUUGUAUUGUGUACAUAUCCGUACUGUAUACACAUAUAUAUACACACACACAUGUAUGCGGAUGUCUUUGUAAAGUUAGCGCUUACACCCCUCCCCCGCUCUUGUUAAACAUAUUCAGCAGCCUAUAGCUAUUGAAAUUUUUGCAGCUGCAGUCAGACUGAAUAAAUACAUAGAUGUCGAUGCAGGGAAUCGAAAAAAAAAACAUUGUUUUGGUUAUUUUUUUUUAAGCUAAAAAACAGAAAGUAAAAGAAACCGUCACAUAGAGUUCCUGAAUGAAUCCCACAGGGAAGUAUCCGACUGCCGGAGAGGUAUGGAGAUGACCUGGAUUUUGUAUUCAUGCUCCCCCCCGCCCCCCUCAGCACUGGAUUUGGGUACACCGGCAAAAACGUUUGCAUAUGACUGCUAUUAAGGACCCCUCUGUGCCUGAUUUCCCAGCGUGCUUAUCAAUCCAUCAUUAUUCCAUCAUUCCCAGUGCAUAUUUUGUCCCGUUUUGUAAUCUGCCCCUCUCUCCGGGCAUUAAGCAGUCAAAGAUCUUUUCUGUUGCAUGCGGCGGGAGCUAUCACUCCAUCUCGUUCCUUUUCCUCACUCUAUCACUCUAAUCUUCCUUAAUCUUCCUGCCUGGAGUGAAGUGAGAAUUAGUUUCUCACUCUCCCUCAACGAUCCGUUCUCCUCGAAUCCCUUCCAUACGCCUCCCGCUUCUGUGUCGCUGCUUCAAGUUGUGAACAAACUACAGAGGUCAAGUCCGCUUUGCAACCUCCGUCCCUCUCAACUUCUCUUCUCACCUCGUGGCCCACCUGAGACUUUGUUUAGGAUUGUCUCACCUGCAAUUGACCGACGAUCAAUCCGGAGUUGGCACCGCUUCUCGCCCGAGGUCAGCCGGGAUGAGCGUGAGUGGACCCUGCAGAGCAUAAACAUAUCGAUAACGGGCUGAUGGAUUGGUUUCUCGGUUUGUUUCUAGAUUUUAGAGCAGUGCAGAGUCCCAACCGUCGACUCUUAACUCUUAACUCAACCCCUUCAGUGGCAGCCAUUUUAGACCAUUUUUACUAAUCUUUCAAGGCAAAUAUUUCUAUAUUCUAUGGCUAUAUAAACAUGGAGAUUAGCAACAGAAAUAUUAGACUCCCGUCUUAUUAUUAGUUGGAAAAAUCUUGUCGCACAAUGCCAAAAAUGCAUUAUAAGGUAGAAAAAACACAUAUACAUAAGUCGCACAAGGCCAAAAAUGCAUAAUUAAGGAGAAAAAAAACAUACAUAAGUCGCACUGGACUAUAAGUCGCACAAGGCCAAAAAUGCAUAAUUAGGUAGAAAAAACACAUACAUAAGUCGCACAAGGCCAAAAAUGCAUAAUUAGGUAGAAAAAAAACACACAUAAGUCGCACUGCCGUAUAAGUCGCACAAGGCCAAAAAUACACAAUUAGGUAGAAAAAAAACAUACAUAAGUCGCACCUUCCCGUCUUAUUAUUAGUUAGAAAUAAAAAACACUCUUCCACCGUUCAGCCUAGUCUAGCCAGUCUGGACCUUAAUCCCAUAGAAAAUCUCUAGAGGGAUCUGAAACGUUGAGUUGCGACCAAUCACAGGGCACAUAUAGACAAACAACCAUUCACACUCACAUUCAUACCUAUGGACAAUAUGGAGUCGCCAAUUAACCAAGCCUUUUUUUAGUCGGGAACUGAUAUUUUCCUGAA